CCUACGGGGGGCUGCAGUGGGGAAUCUUUCACAAUGGGGGCAACCCUGAUGGAGCAACGCCGCGUGCAGGACGAAGGCUUUCGAGUCGUAAACUGCUUUUAUUUAUGAUGAAUUUGACAGUAAUAAAUGAAUAAGGAUCGGCUAACUACGUGCCAGCAGCCGCGGUCAUACGUAGGAUCCAAGCGUUAUUCGGAGUGACUGGGCGUAAAGAGUUGCGUAGGUGGUUUGUUAAGUGGGUGGUGAAAGCUGGUGGCUCAACCAUACAGAUUGUUAUCCAAACUGACAAACUAGAGAGUAGUAGAGGUAACUGGAAUUUCUAGUGUAGGAGUGAAAUCCGUAGAUAUUAGAAGGAACACCAAUGGCGUAGGCAGGUUACUGGGCUAUUUCUGACACUAAGGCACGAAAGCGUGGGGAGCGAACGGGCUUAGAUACCCCAGUAGUC
Molecule: ribosomal RNA, 442 nt
Filed under: uncultured bacterium
Lineage: Bacteria
Description: bacterial SSU rRNA
Rfam family: Bacterial small subunit ribosomal RNA
Source: RNAcentral